Molecule: unclassified non-coding RNA, 2393 nt
Filed under: Limulus polyphemus (Atlantic horseshoe crab)
Lineage: Eukaryota; Metazoa; Arthropoda; Merostomata; Xiphosura; Limulidae
Description: ras-related and estrogen-regulated growth inhibitor- like, transcript variant X4
Source: RNAcentral
CUUUGCGUCACUAACAUAUAAUCGUACGCAAAAGACACGUGGAAUUGAACACAGAAGUGUUAACAUAGCCUGCUCAAUCAAGUAUUUUGGUGAAGAAUCUCCUUUUCCUGAAAAGCAAAUAUUUACUUGACAUAUUCCUUACGCUACGCAUCAAUUUUUUUUGAAUGCUAAUGAGACUGAAAACAUUCCGAUUCACUUAAUUUCUUCGAAUGAAUAUGACUUAGUUUCUGUGUAGAGAGAAAACGCGUGGUGGUUUCACUGACAACUAGAAGCGAGUGAUGUCACGUCUUGGCCGCCACGGUGUCGGCUCAAGCCCCGCAUGCCAAGAAUCAAGUGUGGCUAGAGAGGCCUCCAGUUCUAACGGAUUUGUAAAGGACUUUUUUCGCGUUGUCAACAAUGGCCACCUAGGGACAAGCCAAAAGAUGACAAAACCUGCAGAUAGUCGUCUCGUGCUCCUGGGAAACCCUGGUGUCGGGAAGUCCGCUCUUGUAGUGAGGUUUAUAACCAAGCGCUUCAUCUGGGAGUACGAUCCAACAUUGGAAUGUACUUACCGACAUACAACAAUGGUGGACGAUGAAAACGUCAGUAUGGAGAUUUUAGACACCGCUGGUAAGGGAGAAAGUAUCCACCAAGAGGGCAACAUCAACUGGGGAGAAGGCUUUCUACUCGUGUACAGCACGACCGACAGGGAGAGUUUCGAGGAUAUUGUCAAUCUGCAUCAGCAUAUAGCUUCUGUAAAAAAAACACAAAACUUCUCUUGCGUGCUAGUCGGUAACAAGAACGACCUCACACACGAGCGUAAGGUCGGGCAGGAAGAAGCCGAGCAGCUUGCCGUUGAUCUGUCGUGUUGUUUCUUCGAAUGCAGUGCCUGUGACGGAGGCGAGGCUGUCGACGAAUCCUUCAAGGAGCUACAUCGGGAUGUAGUACGGAGAAGAAUGGUAAACAGCAUGAGAAGACGACGAAGCUCGGCCCAACAGGUGAAGCAAGUACUCAACAAAAUGUUCACGAAAAUUAACUCCUAAACCAAAAAGUAAAUGAAUUAAACAAAAGGACAGGAAUAUGUCUGAGAAGGGUAUCGCUCAUUUGAGGCAUCAUGGGAAAUUUUCGAGAUGGUUCCUGGCAGUUUCAUGCGUUCGUUUGUUAAAUAAAUAUCAGAUACUGGAGAAAAAAUGAUUAAAGGAAUCAUUGAAGUCUGCUUGCGUCUUGGACUUUAAAAAGGCGCGUAUUGAUAUUUUAUAAGAAAGGAAACGAUGUGAAUUACGUGCUCAUUUACAAAUUCAAGAAGUAAUACUUAUACUUUUGAACAGCUAUCAAUGUCUUCUCAAGCGUCCAAACCAAAUAUUUUUCUUGAGUUUUUUUUUUCCCUCUUUCGCUUCCGAAACGUAAACAACAAAUUAGUCUUACUUUCAGAUGAGCUGAACUGGAAAAUAAAAUUCAUUUAGAAAAGAAAAAUGAGUUAUUUACCAGCUAUUCAGUAGCAAAAAAAAUUAAACAUUAUGAUAUAUAAAAAAAUUUCUUAUAUAUAUAAACAAUAUAGUAUGUAUUGUACCUUACCUUUACAACAGCACAUUGCUUUCCAUACAAAAUAAUAAAAAACUCUAAGCUUAUAAAAACAACAAAGCAUAUUAUUAAUGUCACUCUACCCACAAAAGACGUGAACACAGCUGUAACAAAAAGGAUGAAACAAACUAUUUAAUUUUUUUUACUCAGGUUGUGAAGAAAAUAAUUAAGUAAAUUAUUUAUUAGAGAGUAGCGUUCUGUAAGUCCAGUUUACGAAAGAUGUAAGUCACAAGAUGAUGAGCUUAGCCCAACAAGUGAUCCCUAUCAUUACCUAUGUAUAUUGUGAACGUUUCGAUAUUUGCAGAUGACCCCUUUCCCUAUAUAUUGUGAAAUAUGUGUUUAAUUUUUAAUUUCAGAAAGUAAAAAUAGCAUGUUCUUAUUUUUACCUGUAAGAAAAUGUUGCCGUAAGUAUAUUUGUUGUAAAUUGUGAUAAAUAGUGUAUUUGUCAGAGUUCUGUUAUCCUUCAAUUGUGGUAUACUGCUCUUGUCUAGUAGUUUUUGUAGCUGGAUUCAUCAGUCACUUUGUCAAGUCGGUGGAUUUUCUGAGGACAGAACUGACGGUUAGAAUCGUUAUCCGUGAAUAGUUGGACACUGGACAAAGUGGUGUGGAUAAAAAUUUAGGAAAAGCAAUCUGUAUAUAAGAAAAUCUACACAAUUGCUAUGAACAGCUACAGUAUGGUCCCGGAAAUUUCAUUUGUGGAAACUGAGAACACUGCUGCUACGAAGUAAACUGAUGACUAGCACCAAGUACUUCUUCAAAUACAUCAUAUCCAGAAAGCCGUUGGAGCUGGCAAUGGAAGACUGUUUACAAACGUCACUGUGAGAUCCAACCAA